GGCAAUCCUCUCCGGUCCCCUUCCGGGCUGUGGGAGCUUUGUUCUUUUGCUCUUUGCAAUAAAUCUUGCUGCUGCUCGCUCUUUGGGUCCACAUUGCCUUUGUGAGCUGUAACACUCACGGCGAAGGUCUGCAGCUUCACUCCUAAAGCCAGAGAGACCACAAACCCACCGGGAGGAACGAACAACUCCAGACGCGCGGCCUUAAGAGCUGUAACACUCACCGCGAAAGUCUGCAGCUUCACUCCUAAAGCCAGCGAGACCACGAACCCACCAGGAGGAACGAACAAUUCCAGAUGCGCCGCCUUAGGAGCUGUAACACUCACCGCGAAGAUCUGCAGCUUCACUCCUGAGCCGGCGAGACCACGAACCCCACCAGAAGGAAGAAACUCCGGACACGCCGCCUUUAAGAACUAUAACACUCACGGCGAGGGUCCACGGCUUCAUUCUUGAAGUCAGUGAAACCAAGAACCCACCAAUUCCGGACACAGCAGGAUCCCACCCACAGAACCGCCAGGUGCACAGCUGCAUAUCCUCAGGGGAAAACUCCCCUCCCCUGCCACCUUACUGAUAGGCUUCACUUCCCAGAGAACUUUCCCAAUCCUGUGCAAUGCCUGAGUGGUACAUUGUAUUCUAUGAGAAUGGCGCCCCCGCCUCCAGAGUUGUGCAACAAGACUUCCAUGAAUCAAAGCCCAUCGCUGGCUGCCUCCUCUAGCCCUGCAUAGCCCAGGUACAUCUGAAAGGAGUGAGAAGUGUUUUGAGGGCUCUCCCUGUCUCUUCCUGCACCUCUCUCUUGUGAUCCCAGAAGCUACAACCUCAGCCCAGAUUAGCAGGCUGAGGGGUCAGGAGGCUGUCACUGGAGCUGUUGAGCUCAUGAACACGCCGAAGUUGCUGCGCUCCAGAAAUGUGGAAGUUGGAAUGAAGAGCCACCACUGCUGCCACCAACAUGAAGCUUGACCAAGCAAGCCAAGAAAAGAUGGCCAAGAGCCUCUGCCUUCCUUCUGCCUUCUGCAACGCAAUGAGAAGGCUACUUGGACCUAAAGGAAUGAAUUAGGAAGCGGUCUACUACCAAAGUACAAUGAAGGUCAGUUUUCUUCAUACCUUAAUAUGAAAAACGUUUUAAAAUGUCUCAAUUUCCCUAUGCUAACCUCUGGUCACAGAGGCUUGAGGGCUUCCUAUAGUACCAAAGUAUGACUUGCCAGUUAAAAAGAAAACGAAUUCUUGCCCCCAGGGGUAAAGAUAACAAAUUUAGAACACUAUGACAUACAUCUAUUAAUAUUUGCAGAAGGAGUAUAUGUUGUUACAUUAACAUACAGAAAUUGCAUAGUUGAUCCAGAGGGAAGUCUGGAGAGUACAGGGAUGGAAAAAAGGAGGAGGAUGGAAAAGAAUGGGAACUAAAACUUAGGUGACUACGUUAAGGAUUACCCAUGAGAGCAAGACACAGGAUAAAGUACUGAAAACAAAAAAAAAAACUUAAUGUAACCACUUAUUUGAAUAAAUUGAUUCAUAUGAAUCCAAUUUGAUAGAUAAAAAAAGAUCAAA
Molecule: long non-coding RNA, 1539 nt
Filed under: Homo sapiens (human)
Lineage: Eukaryota; Metazoa; Chordata; Mammalia; Primates; Hominidae
Description: HSALNT0342474
Source: RNAcentral